UUACGUCUCAGUUACUGAGUGAUCAAAUUGAGUCUAUGCCCCAACUGUGUAUUGAAGUAAAAAAUGUCAUGUAACAUUUCCAGUAGUUGUUUUAAUGUGUAACGUAGUCCCCAAUUUAGCUCCUCGAGUGUAAUCUGGUAGCUAUGUUUUGUUUAAAAAAAAAAAACAUAGCUACCAGAUUACACUGUAUCCUGGAAUGAACCUGACUACAGAUAUUAAACUCUCAGCUUAUUUACCAAGAAGUUAAU
This 248-nucleotide unclassified non-coding RNA is filed under the name Hevea brasiliensis (rubber tree). Lineage: Eukaryota; Viridiplantae; Streptophyta; Magnoliopsida; Malpighiales; Euphorbiaceae. The record is from RNAcentral.